AUUGAACGCUGGCGGCAGGCCUAACACAUGCAAGUCGAGCGGGGUUUUCGGACCUAGCGGCGGACGGGUGAGUAAUGCGUAGGAAGCUACCCGAUAGAGGGGGAUACCAGUUGGAAACGACUGUUAAUACCGCAUAAUGUCUACGGACCAAAGUGUGGGACCUUCGGGCCACAUGCUAUCGGAUGCGCCUACGUGGGAUUAGCUAGUUGGUGAGGUAAUGGCUCACCAAGGCGACGAUCUCUAGCUGGUUUGAGAGGAUGAUCAGUCACACUGGAACUGAGACACGGUCCAGACUCCUACGGGAGGCAGCAGUGGGGAAUUUUGGACAAUGGACGCAAGUCUGAUCCAGCCAUUCCGCGUGCAGGAUGAAGGCCCUCGGGUUGUAAACUGCUUUGUACGGAACGAAAAGGUCUCUCCUAAUACGAGGGGCUCAUGACGGUACCGUAAGAAUAAGCACCGGCUAACUACGUG
RNAcentral lists this ribosomal RNA (471 nucleotides) under uncultured bacterium. RNAcentral describes it as "bacterial SSU rRNA". It matches the Rfam family "Bacterial small subunit ribosomal RNA", at positions 30 to 507 of the family's 1533-position model. The record is from RNAcentral.